UACAGAGGUCUCAAGCGUUGUUCGGAUUCAUUGGGCGUAAAGGGUGCGUAGGUGGCGUCGUAAGUCAGGUGUGAAAUCUCGGAGCUUAACUCCGAAACUGCAUUUGAUACUGCGGUGCUUGAGGACUGGAGAGGAGACUGGAAUUUACGGUGUAGCAGUGAAAUGCGUAGAGAUCGUAAGGAAGACCAGUGGCGAAGGCGGGUCUCUGGACAGUUCCUGACGCUGAGGCACGAAGGUCAGGGGAGCAAACGGG
Molecule: ribosomal RNA, 253 nt
Filed under: uncultured bacterium
Lineage: Bacteria
Description: partial 16S ribosomal RNA
Rfam family: Bacterial small subunit ribosomal RNA
Source: RNAcentral